Solenopsis invicta (red fire ant) is the source of this 2118-nucleotide RNA transcript. It is a transcript of the gene named protein ANTAGONIST OF LIKE HETEROCHROMATIN PROTEIN 1-like, with no coding region annotated. The record is from RefSeq and is a predicted model, not a curated record. Lineage: Eukaryota; Metazoa; Arthropoda; Insecta; Hymenoptera; Formicidae. The transcript is spliced from 7 exons.
CCUUCCACCAUGGGCUGAUGGCAGAGAACGAGACGUAACUGACGUGACGUGACGUGACGUGACGUUGAGGUUGAGUAAGGCAGAGAAAAGCCGUAAAGACGUACGACGUGUUGUGUUGAAUGUCUGAUGAUCUAUUAAGUGCGCGGAGAGACGAGGUUAAUCCACAUUUUUCCCUGCUAUAUAUACUACAAUUAUUACAAACGUACAUGUUUUUCUCGAUUGACGAGUUUUGUAUCUUAAAAAUAUUCCACUACUUUGAUGCAGAAUAGUAUUGCAUUAGAAUAACCUACAUGCAGCGAGCGAACUACAUCAACUACAACUUACUCAUUAAGCUAUCUCUGUACAGUUGCAUUUUUUUUCGGUCUCCCAAUCUUAUUUAUUUGCUUUUUCAGUAGAAUAUUUAGUUAUUUUGAAAGUGAUACAAGAAUAAAAAUGUUGGAUCAUUCACGUAUUGUCAAAUUUUGAUGAUUCACCUGUAACGAACACAGAUAGGUAAAAUAUGAUUUAAUUAAUUAAUAAGUAAUUAAGAAAUGUUAUUCCUUUUCAAUGCUUACAAUAUGCUUAUAACUAAUAAAAAAAAUGAACAGUGAUAGUGAAUUUAUAAUUCUGGUAAUGAAUUGGAUAAUUACAUAUGUUUUGUUAAGACGUAAAAGAAAACAAAUUAGAUGGUUAAAUAGGCGAUGGCUUGUGAGUCCUAUUAAUACAAUGAGGAUUCAAUAUGGAGAUUAUAAUAACUUAUUUCAAAAACUAAAAGAUGAUCCUGCAUUAUUUUAUCGUUAUACUAGAAUGACAUUGGCACAUUUUCAGCAAUUAGUACAAAUGACAGAACCAUAUUUGAUAAAGAAAAGCUCUCGUGCUUUAAUACCAGAACUACGACUUUUAAUAACUCUAAGAUAUCUUGCCACAGGCGAUUUACCAUUGACUGUAGCUUUGGCAUUUAGAGUUGGUGAAUCCACAGUAAGAGAAGUGGUAAAAGAAGUUUGUAAUAUUUUGAUUAAGAUUUUGGAAGCAUUAUAUCUUUCUCCACCUACAAAAGAAGAUUGGAGAAUAUGUUUUCAUGGAUAUUGGAAGAGAUGGAACAUUCCAAAUUGUGCGGGUUCCAUAGAUGGCAAACAUAUUAGAUUACGCUGUCCUCCAAACUCUGGAAGCUUGUAUUUUAAUUAUAAAAAUUUUAUAGUGUGGUUUUAUUGGCAGUAUCUGAUCAUUUAUACAGAUUUACAUUAGUUGAUAUUGGAGCAUUUGGAGGAACUAGUGACGGAGGCAUUUUCAAUAACUGUGAUAUAGGAAAAAACUUAGAAAAUAAUAGAUUAAAUUUACCAGAAGAACCUAUAAACCUUCCUAAUAGCAAUUUAAAAACGUACACUUACUUUGUAGCCGAUGAUGCUUUUAAAUUAUCAAAAAGAAUUAUGAAACCUUAUUCUAGUACGAACUUGACAUAUAAAAAAAAAUUUUUAAUUAUAGACUUUCUAGAGCACGAAGAACAGUUGAAAGUGCUUUUGGAAUUUUUUCGAAUAAAUGGAGAAUAUUCCACACAGCUAUUAGUAUGCUACCAGAAACCGCUGAUGUAAUUGUAACAGCUUCAGUUUGUCUACACAAUUAUAUACUGAAAGAGGAGCAACGCAGUGGAACUAAAAUGUAUAGUCAAGAACAAAUUUCUGAUAAUACUGAAAACCAAAAUUCACCCUGGAUCAAUAUACCAAAUAAUCUUCAAGAAGAUAACGUACAAACUGCCGAAAUUCAAAGAAAUAUUUUGAGUGAUUAUUUUAUUUCUGAAGUUGGACAAGUGGAAUGGCAACAUGACUAUGUUCAAAGAGGUGUACAUGCAGACGAAUAAAUUUUUUUUUUUAAUUUUAUUUUUAUGAUAUGUCUUACAAAACUAUUAAAAUUAUACAUUUAUACUCAGUCAAUUAUACUCAAAAGAGUAUAAUACAUCACAGACACAAAUACUGUUUGAUAUAAUUUUUUAAAUAAACUAGUAAUUAUUUUGUUUCAUAAAAAUUUUAAAAUAAAAUAUAAAUGUUAUAUCUUUACAAUAAAAAAAUAAUAAUACCUAUUUGUACUGUCACAAUUACAAUGUAUGUAAAGAUUUCUUAAAAUAUAUAAUUCUUAUUUUAAUAA